Molecule: long non-coding RNA, 1208 nt
Organism: Mobula hypostoma (lesser devil ray)
Lineage: Eukaryota; Metazoa; Chordata; Chondrichthyes; Myliobatiformes; Myliobatidae
Exons: 4
Source: RefSeq, a predicted model, not a curated record
UGAUCUUUUUUGGUCAAGAUUUUAGAGAUUCCUAUGAGAACAAAUGCAGUAGGAGCUGAGUUGCAGAAUCAGCACUGUGCGGGUUCAUUGCCAAGAGGUCUAUCAGUAGCAGUGGCGAAAGGGUCUGUGAGCUGGAGCUCACUGUAACCAGACAUUGGGUGGUGUUCAUGGUCGACAUCUGCUCUUCUCUAUUUGACUGAUGCAGAACUACCACGAGUUGGUCUCCCACUCACCACCCAACUUCCCAGCGCGCACUUCCACCGUAUUCAUGAGGCUCGACCCUUGCCUUUGAAUCAGCAUCCAUUGUAACCCUUUUGGUCCUCCUCGAAGCCUCUUACUAAAGGCUUACUUUCAUUACAAGCCCAGGACAACCCAGAACAAAACAAACCGUGCUGUAUUGCUGGUAUAUCCAACUGUCAAUGUUGGGAAUAACUCCACCCGCUCUCUAUGGAAAGUUGGGGUGGGGGUAAAUACUGGAUCUCCUGCUCUUUUUUGGAAUUGAUUCCGCCCCCCCACCCCCGUUUGCUCCCAGUGGUAUCCAGCAUUUUGAUCGUGGACUUGAGGACAAACACCUUCCUUCCUCCGUGUAAACAGAGAGCAGCUUCAUGGAGCAGCAUGGUGGCAGGCUAUCAGUUAGUGGUGACUGUCAGGCUGUGCGAGGAAACUGAAGCACCCGGAGGAAAGACAUGCGGCCAUGAGGAGAACUUACAAACUCCUUACAGACAGCAGUGGGAAUUGAAUAUCGAUCGGUUCUUUUGAAGACCCUGACCAGGAGUUACACGCUGACUUUGGUUCUUUGCGAGAAUGGGACCCGUUCUCAGGGCCUCGCGACCGGCCGUUUUUCGAUAUGCCAAGGACGCAGCCUGGAAUUCUAACUCACCUUCAGGGCGCCGGAUUUUCGUGACUCUGAAGACGGGCUGAUUCAAGGCUGGUGCCGCUACCUGAUGUGUUGUGAGAGUACACGGAAGAUCGGAAGCAGUGAGCUGGCUGCUGGCUGUGUGCCUAGAGACCUGAGUUCUUUGGGCCCAGAGCUCGGAAAAAGUGACACAACAGACUUUUAACACUAUAAAUCAGAGAGUUGUUUUGUUAUGUCUCCCCUCUCGCUGUGAAACAGGGACACCUCUUUUUCCUUUAUUAGGGAGAGAGAGAGCCUGUGGUAUGUCGAAUUACCAGGUGAACGAGUAAUGGGGGACUGCAAGUCUGUGUCU